RNAcentral lists this ribosomal RNA (254 nucleotides) under uncultured bacterium. RNAcentral describes it as "partial small subunit ribosomal RNA". It matches the Rfam family "Bacterial small subunit ribosomal RNA", at positions 29 to 286 of the family's 1533-position model. The record is from RNAcentral.
AGAAUACAACGCGUGGCGGCGGUGACCUAACACAUGACAAGUCGAACGGAGAAAGGGGUAGCAAUACCCUGAGUAAAGUGGCGCACGGGUGAGUAACACGUGACUAACCUACCCUUGAGUGGGGGAUAACUGAGGGAAACCUUAGCUAAUACCGCAUAAUACCCACGGGUCAAAGGAGCAAUUCGCUCGAGGAGGGGGUCGCGGCCGAUUAGUUAGUUGGCGGGGUAAUGGCCCACCAAGACGAUGAUCGGUAU